GAGUUCUUAGCUCAAUAGGUAGAGCAUAUGACUUUUAAUCAUUGUGUUAGGGGUUCGAUUCCCCUAGAACUCU
This is a transfer RNA of Dactylellina haptotyla CBS 200.50, 73 nucleotides long. It matches the Rfam family "tRNA". From Rfam's summary of the family: Transfer RNA (tRNA) molecules are approximately 80 nucleotides in length. Their secondary structure includes four short double-helical elements and three loops (D, anti-codon, and T loops). Lineage: Eukaryota; Fungi; Ascomycota; Orbiliomycetes; Orbiliales; Orbiliaceae. The record is from Rfam.